UCGCUUGAUAGAGGCGCGGUACUCAUCAGUACCCUCCGGCAAGGUCGUGCAGCCGCCGAAGGAGAAAGGGAUCACCGCCGAAGUAUGGGAAAUCUGCCCGGGUUUUUCAUGCUGGGUCGUCAGAGAACAUCUGCCGGACUGUCACAAAAAUCUUUGUGAAGCGCUAUCAUUGGC
This is a regulatory RNA element of Firmicutes bacterium CAG:110, 174 nucleotides long. It matches the Rfam family "Lysine riboswitch aptamer". From Rfam's summary of the family: Riboswitches are metabolite binding domains within certain messenger RNAs that serve as precision sensors for their corresponding targets. Allosteric rearrangement of mRNA structure is mediated by ligand binding, and this results in modulation of gene expression. NCBI's taxonomy places the organism in Bacteria, Bacillati, Bacillota. The record is from Rfam.